Balaenoptera ricei (Rice's whale) is the source of this 948-nucleotide long non-coding RNA. RefSeq lists it as uncharacterized. Lineage: Eukaryota; Metazoa; Chordata; Mammalia; Artiodactyla; Balaenopteridae. The record is from RefSeq and is a predicted model, not a curated record. The transcript is spliced from 3 exons.
UACAAGUUAUUUAAAACUAAGCUUUAUUCAACAUAAAAACUAAUGUGAUUAUAACAUCUACUACUUUUCAGUUGGAGGAGUGGGGUGAGGGGACUAACGAUCCCAGACUGGAAGCGGAAAUCCUCCUUGUUCCUCUUUUAUACUUGCCAAGUGUCUGCUCUCACAAACAAACAAGAGACCCUAUUUGUUCGAAGCGUGCAGAGGCAUGAGCUCAGAACAAAGCUGAUCCAGCGAUGAUAUUUCAGAAAAUGAUCCCAGGACCAAAAUGCAGCUCGUCGGAGUCCUGACCCAUAUAUUUUCGGAGUCCAAGUUGGGGGAGAACAACUGACCUAAGCUCUCUGGGGAAAAGCACACCUAAGCAUCUUUGGCACCUGAAGAUGAUAAAACUUGUAACCAAGAUAUUACAGGGUCAAAUAUGGUCUGAGGUUUAGUGUGUCAGUAACUGUUUUGGCAAAAGGAGCCAAAAGUACAUGUGAGGUUUACAGAUACUUUCAGGCUGAACGGUCGUGUUCAGCUGAUUAAAAUUACGAAUUUAAAUAGUAAAAUGUCUCUGUGAUUUAGUUAGAGAAUCACUCCUAGCUCGUUCAUGUUGGGGGCAGCUUGCCAUUUUCCAUGUGAUCUGCAAGUUGCCUCAAAAGUAUAACUAUUUUGUGAAUAGGACAGGAGGAGAAAAUCUCCCAAUUGGCACAUUCUCAAUUAGGGUCAAGGAACAAAGCCAGCUUAACCAGAGAGGAAAUAAAAGGCAAACAAUAGGAGUCUGCCUGCACUGUCACCACUUAUAGAGAGAGGUGCCUCUCUGGACCUGCCUGGUAAGUCGCUCUCAGGUUAAGGAAGGGUCACAGUGACAAAAGUUCGGACCAUCUAAUUGUAUUACCCCAAAGUAACCUUCCUAUAUAUAGUAAAAACAGUCUGAAGAUGUUUUAUUAAGAACAUGCCUGGAUUCAAAAG